Molecule: long non-coding RNA, 1132 nt
Organism: Drosophila navojoa
Lineage: Eukaryota; Metazoa; Arthropoda; Insecta; Diptera; Drosophilidae
Source: RefSeq, a predicted model, not a curated record
CGAGGCACACGGCUUGCCAUAAGUCGGCUGCGUAAUCCCCACGGCGUUGACUUUUAGAAAAGCCAAACCAAAUUGUUCGGUUCACCUCAUCCAAGGCAACCCAAAAACAGGCCGUGCGUGAUUCGUGUCACGCGUCCAGCUCUAUGCUGCAGCUGCGUCCAUUAAGGCUCAACUCAAGCGUGCAGCUUAAACUCGAAAUGGCAACGACGACGACGACUACGACGUAGAAGAAGAAGAAGAUGGGGGCAGGCAAAGAGGAGCAGCGGACUCACUCGUUGCUUGGCGGGAGGCGGACUAGUGUGCCACAGACUGUGGCAACGAACGGCGGCCAAUUAGUGAGCAUUGCUCAUACGCCACGUUUGUCAUGGCAGCCGAGCGGCUCGUCUCCCACACACACACACACACACACACAUGCAUGCUGGCAGGCUCUCUCUCACUCUCUCACUCUGUCGCUCGCCCGCUCUCAGUGCUCGCCUAGCGGAAACGGAAGUUGUAAGGGGAUUUUCAAUUUGCAAUUGAACUGAUUUUUGGCUUGCUUCGACGUUUUUUCUCUCUCUCUCUCUGUCUCACUCUCUUCAUCUUCUUCAGCUCUCUGCUGCGCUCAUUUUAUGGCUGACUUGGUUACUUGGCUGCGGUGCCGAGCGUCGAAUGCGGAAAUGUAAUCAUCGCAAUGCCUGCCACGCCUAACCGCCCAGCGCCCCAUACCCACGCCUCCAUUCAGCACCAGAGGGCGCUUAUCGGCAAAGUCAAACGUGCAAGCACACACACACACACACCCACAUGCAGUUGCAUAUACGUGAGCGCACACAUAUACAUAUAUAUAUACUUACAUUUAAUUUUCACUAAUUGAAUCGAAAUCGAUCUCUCUUUGCAAUUUUUGUGUGCUGACUUUUUGGGUGACUGACAGAGGGCGGCAGUGGAGGGUAGGCGUGGCGUGGCGUGGCGCGCAUAGCUGCCAUCGUUCGCUCUUGCAGCGCAUUAAUAAACUUUUCGUAUAAAUCAACGAAUUUUGUCGACAUUUGGAUGCCGUUGCGCAAAUUAUCGAGCAUUUCCAGCAAAAACGCCAAACAGGAACAUGGCAAACGGGUAAAAGGAUUAACUCUGAUUCCGACUCUGAGGCUGACUUUUAUGC